GAUGAACGCUAGCGGCAGGCUUAAUACAUGCAAGUCGUGGGGCAGCAGGUUUGUAGCAAUACAGAUGCUGGCGACCGGCAAACGGGUGCGGAACACGUACAGAACCUUCCUUUGAGCGGGGAAUAGCCCAGAGAAAUUUGGAUUAAUACCCCAUAGUAUAAUGAAGUGGCAUCACUUUAUUAUUAAAGAUUUAUCACUCGAAGAUGGCUGUGCGGCUGAUUAGGUAGUUGGCGGGGUAAAGGCCCACCAAGCCUGCGAUCAGUAACUGUGUGAGAGCACGACCAGUCACACGGGCACUGAGACACGGGCCCGACUCCUACGGGAGGCAGCAGUAAGGAAUAUUGGUCAAUGGAGGCAACUCUGAACCAGCCAUGCCGCGUGGAGGAUGAAGGUCCUCUGGAUUGUAAACUUCUUUAUAUGGACGAAAAAGGCUUUCUAAGUCGUCUGACGGUACCAUAUGAAUAAGCACCGGCUAACUCCGUGCCAGCAGCCG
Molecule: ribosomal RNA, 493 nt
Filed under: uncultured bacterium
Lineage: Bacteria
Description: bacterial SSU rRNA
Rfam family: Bacterial small subunit ribosomal RNA
Source: RNAcentral